UGAUUAAAUUUUGAGUUUUUCGCCGCAGAAGUCAGGUGGAUAUGACUUGUAGUCUUUGGCUACUUUACUUAGGCUUUGUUUCAAGGUGCUAUCGGUCUUGUGUACGAGACACGCGACUUCCAGCGGGUUAAAAGUUAUAGAAAGCGUCGAGCAAAGACAGGGAACUAGGCGGUUUCGCAAGGAAACACACACUAGGCUGUCUUUGACAAGACGGUGUUUUCGCGGGUCUUAAAAACUUCCGUCUCUCCGAGGAAAGACUUCCGCUUUUAAAGUUUUGGGUGUGGUAAUGAUCCUUCCGCAGGUUCACCUACGGAAA
Molecule: unclassified non-coding RNA, 316 nt
Filed under: uncultured fungus
Lineage: Eukaryota; Fungi
Description: sequence contains ITS1
Source: RNAcentral